UUAAUCAUUUUUUUGCGUCAGACGUUAAUUUAUUGUAAAUAACAGGUAAUAAUAAUAAUUCCAUGUAUUAAGAUAAGAGAAGCAGUACACCUUUGCUCGUCCUUACUCAAAUUAGUCAAGGCCUGGCUUUCCGCAUUAUAACAAAUUAACGCGCUCAUUAGUUUCUUUGUUCUCUGAGUGAAUCGUUAAUUAUUUUGUAAUAUAGUUUAUUAGUGGUUGUAAAAGGGUUAUUCUUGCAGUCUGCUUCUUCAACACAGAAAGAGCAAAUGGUUGUCUGUUUCCUGAUUGCUUCCCACGUAACUAAUUAUUACCCAUAUUGAAGCAAGUAAACCGCAGGAGCUUACAGGAUAAAUUCAGGAUGGAUUGUACUAUUCCGUACGAAGUUUUAAUAUUGUUCAAAUGCAGUGGACAGAAGCGCAAUAACUAAAAACUACAAUGGACUACUAUUACAGAGAAAAGAAGGAUUAAUAUAAAUUUGAUUAUUAAAGAGGCAAACGUUUGGUGAAUUAGUAUGGGUUUUAUUGGAUUUCCAUUAAACUAUUGGAUGUUUUUUGCUGUGGAGUAAAAAUUAAUUUCCAUAUAGACUACUUCUAUGUAUGUCCACAUAUUCAAACAAGCAUGAGGAGCUAGUUACAGAAGCAAAAACAGGAAUAAAGAGUGGCAGGGGAAGAUCUAUCUACAUCUACACCCUGACGAUGCAGAUUCAAUGGUUGUUUUGGCAUUUAUUUCUACAAUCAUCCACCCAAGGACCACCAGUGUCUGCUUUGGAUUUCCCAUACGCAUUGCUUUUUCUUUUAGUAUUUUUUAAUGGUUUAUGAAAAUUUGUAAACAAAAGUGGGUUUAUUGAACAAUUUUUUUUAAUAAAUGUAACAUUUGCCGUUAUUACUUAGUGAGAUAUAAUUACAAUUAGAUUGAAACAAACUUUAAAAACACUGUUUAAAACUUUGAAAAAACUUCUUGUUAUUUAUUAUAAUUGUUACUACUGAUGAUUUCCUUUUUCAAAGUUUGU
Molecule: long non-coding RNA, 1009 nt
Organism: Agrilus planipennis (emerald ash borer)
Lineage: Eukaryota; Metazoa; Arthropoda; Insecta; Coleoptera; Buprestidae
Exons: 4
Source: RefSeq, a predicted model, not a curated record